RNAcentral lists this ribosomal RNA (79 nucleotides) under Aureobasidium pullulans. RNAcentral's name for it is "partial 5.8S ribosomal RNA". It matches the Rfam family "5.8S ribosomal RNA", at positions 79 to 154 of the family's 154-position model. From Rfam's summary of the family: 5.8S ribosomal RNA (5.8S rRNA) is a component of the large subunit of the eukaryotic ribosome. It is transcribed by RNA polymerase I as part of the 45S precursor that also contains 18S and 28S rRNA. Lineage: Eukaryota; Fungi; Ascomycota; Dothideomycetes; Dothideales; Saccotheciaceae. The record is from RNAcentral.
AUUCAGUGAAUCAUCGAAUCUUUGAACGCACAUUGCGCCCCUUGGUAUUCCGAGGGGCAUGCCUGUUCGAGCGUCAUUA